Molecule: ribosomal RNA, 253 nt
Filed under: uncultured bacterium
Lineage: Bacteria
Description: partial 16S ribosomal RNA
Rfam family: Bacterial small subunit ribosomal RNA
Source: RNAcentral
UACGUAGGGGGCAAGCGUUGUCCGGAAUUACUGGGCGUAAAGCGUGCGUAGGCGGUCCGCGAAGUCUGAUGUGAAAGCCCCGGGCUCAACCUGGGAACUGCAUUGGAAACUGACGGGCUCGAGUGUGGCAGAGGGGGGUGGAAUUCCACGUGUAGCAGUGAAAUGCGUAGAGAUGUGGAGGAACACCGAUGGCGAAGGCAGCCCCCUGGGCUAACACUGACGCUCAGGCACGAAAGCGUGGGGAGCAAAAGGG